This 252-nucleotide long non-coding RNA is filed under the name Elaeis guineensis (African oil palm). Its description in RNAcentral is "long non-coding RNA (EGUI_LNC075950)". Lineage: Eukaryota; Viridiplantae; Streptophyta; Magnoliopsida; Arecales; Arecaceae. The record is from RNAcentral.
UCAGAACUGCUUGGGGUGGAUCUGAUAUUAGGAAGGUAACUUUCAAGGCUUUCAUGCUGGCCGGCACGCCAAGAUUGGAAGGCUAGCGCUGGGAGAUUUUAUUGGAAUGUAAUAUUUACCGAUUCCGUGUGAAAAUAAACUUGGGAACGCCCGUCAACCCGUCAUUGAGAAAUAAAUAGGAAAAAUGCAUCUUAAGACUCGUAUACGGUAUAUUUCUCCAAAGAGAUACGGAUAAUAUUCCUCGGAUCGGAU